Molecule: ribosomal RNA, 32 nt
Filed under: Veronica amoena
Lineage: Eukaryota; Viridiplantae; Streptophyta; Magnoliopsida; Lamiales; Plantaginaceae
Also listed under: 1 other name
Description: partial 26S ribosomal RNA
Source: RNAcentral
GACCGCGACCCCAGGUCAGGCGGGACUACCCG